CCUACGGGAGACAGCAGUGGGGAAUAUUGCACAAUGGGGGAAACCCUGAUGCAGCAACGCCGCGUGAAGGAAGACGGUUUUCGGAUUGUAAACUUCUGUUCUUAGUGAAGAAUAAUGACGGUAGCUAAGGAGCAAGCCACGGCUAACUACGUGCCAGCAGCCGCGGUAAUACGUAGGUGGCAAGCGUUGUCCGGAAUUACUGGGUGUAAAGGGAGCGCAGGCGGGAAGCCAAGUCAGCUGUGAAAACUACGGGCCUAACUUGUAGACUGCAGGUGAAACUGGUUUUCUUUAGUGAAGUAGGGGGUGGCGGAAUUCCGGGUGUAGCCGGGAA
This 331-nucleotide ribosomal RNA is filed under the name uncultured bacterium. RNAcentral describes it as "partial 16S ribosomal RNA". It matches the Rfam family "Bacterial small subunit ribosomal RNA", at positions 338 to 685 of the family's 1533-position model. The record is from RNAcentral.